GAAUCAGGUAUGACUUGAGUUUGUUCUAGGAUUGGUCGGUCAAUAACCUUACCACUUCGCAAAGUUAUUAUACUCUUCGCUUGUUCUUUAUGCAAAGUUGAAGAUGAUGCAUUGCUAUCGCCAUAGACUUGAGGGUUAGGUUGUGGUUGAGCUGGUAGCUUACCUUUCUCUUGAGCACUUAAAGCAGUGGUCAGCGUUGUCAAUUGAUUUCUUAAUUCAUCAUUGAUUUUAGCCUGACCUUGCAUGAAAGAUUGCAAAGUUUCUUCGAGACUGGGUUUUUGAGGGGGUGCAUGUGCAUAAUGAGGUUGCGGAGGUGGAGGAGUUGGGUUAUAUACUUGUUGAGGUUGGUCAUUCCUCCACCU
This 362-nucleotide long non-coding RNA is filed under the name Phoenix dactylifera (date palm). RNAcentral's name for it is "long non-coding RNA (PDAC_LNC015531)". The record is from RNAcentral. Lineage: Eukaryota; Viridiplantae; Streptophyta; Magnoliopsida; Arecales; Arecaceae.